GACGAACGCGGCGGCGUGCCUAAUACAUGCAAGUCGAGCGAAGUUUUUCUGGUGCUUGCACUAGAAAAACUAGCGGCGAACGGGUGAGUAACACGUAAAGAACCUGCCUCAUAGACUGGGACAACUAUUGGAAACGAUAGCUAAUACCGGAUAACAGCAUUAACUGCAUGGUUGAUGUUUGAAAGUUGGUUUUGCUAACACUAUGAGAUGGCUUUGCGGUGCAUUAGCUAGUUGGUGGGGUAAAGGCCUACCAAGGCGACGAUGCAUAGCCGACCUGAGAGGGUGAUCCCCCACACUGGUACUGAGAUACGGACCAGACUCCUACGGGAGGCAGCAGUGAGGAAUAUUGGGCAAUGGUCGGAGGACUGAUCCGGCCAUGCCGCGUGCAGGAAGACGGCCUUAUGGGUUGUAAACUGCUUUUGCAGGGGAAGAAUAAGGACUACGAGUAGUUUGAUGACGGUACUCUGCGAGUAAGCAUCGGCUAACUCCGUGCCAGCAGCCGCGGUAAUACGGAGGAUGCGAGCGUUAUCCGGAAUCAUUGGGUUUAAAGGGUCCGUAGGCGGGCUAAUAAGUCAGAGGUGAAAGCGCUCAGCUCAACUGAGCAACUGCCUUUGAAACUGUUAGUCUUGAAUGGUUGUGAAGUAGUUGGAAUGUGUAGUGUAGCGGUGAAAUGCUUAGAUAUUACACAGAACACCGAUAGCGAAGGCAUAUUACUAACAAUUAAUUGACGCUGAUGGACGAAAGCGUGGGGAGCGAACAGG
This 761-nucleotide ribosomal RNA is filed under the name uncultured Streptococcus sp. RNAcentral's name for it is "bacterial SSU rRNA". It matches the Rfam family "Bacterial small subunit ribosomal RNA", at positions 28 to 776 of the family's 1533-position model. Lineage: Bacteria; Bacillati; Bacillota; Bacilli; Lactobacillales; Streptococcaceae. The record is from RNAcentral.